UGCAUUUUGCUAUGUAUAAUAGCAAAUACACGACAUCCUUCCAAGAAUACAACACAGAACGCAUAGUCAGCCAACAUGCAUCCUGUUACCCUGCUGUACUCUUGACUUCACUGACAUCUUGGUUUUCUCUGCUGUUAGGCAUUGUGCAUAAGAAAGAAGACCUCGCUUUCUUUUCUGAAAGUGGGAUCCAAAGUAUCUUGUACUUCUUGUCAAACCAACAUGGGGGCUUUGCCUACUAAGAAAGGGUGCCAUUUAUACUGCUUUAUGUAUCUUAAAAUUGAGGAUUUUUCUUUUGCCUUUGAAAGGUUGGGAAAUACAAAAAAAAUGCAUGCAAAUGUAAAACUCGUAUAUCAUCUCACCAUGCCAAGCCCCCCUCACCUUGUCUUUCCAGUUUAUUCUCUCUCAACUCUAUAAGUGAGUGUAUAAUUAUCUCACUAAUAAUACUAUAUAACUUGUGUGUGCUGAUUUUUAUUUAACAUUACAUCAAUAAGCAUUUUCUCUUGCCAUGAUAUAGCCUCCAAAUUUAUGAUUCUCUUAGAAGGUUGUAUAAUAUUCCUUCUUAUAAUUUGUCCAACUAUUUUUCUUCUUUCGGGGGAUUCAAGUUGUGUUUAACUUUUAGCUAUUUAAAAUAACUUUUAAAAGUCUAUUUCAAAAAUCGAUUAUAACUGACAUUAUUUGCAGCAAAGCGGAACAGUUGACAUAAACUCAAUAUGGUAAACAAUAUACUGUGCUGUACUGGAACACUGUACUGGAGGAGGGUCAAAUGAUAAGAUUGCCAGCCUCAGCUACAACCCUCUUGUGAUGCAAGCGGCUGCAGACGGUGCUGUCUGCACAUGAGGUAAACCUCAGCCCCGCUUCCUUGGCUACAGCAGAUUGAACUGAGAAUUGACGCCUGACCCAAAGGCAACCAUUCGUGGAAUAUCCAAGUAGCCAAUGAAAUGGGCUGAUGCAAGAGCUCCGCCCCCGGUGGUCAGUUUCCUAGACGAUGACUGGCCAGUGGAACAGAACCUCUUUCACGCAAUUAGAAUUUGGGACCUGCUGGGUGUGGGAGAGGGGGAAGUAAUGAAACGGUAGGGUGGAAAUGGGCAGACACCCUGAGAACCGUCAGAAAGCCCUGUCCACAUGGCGCUGGGAGCCAUGACAAAACAGGAACAGCGGCGUGGAGGAAAAGAAGUGCAGAGAGGGUUUGGCAGCGUGAGCAGAGAAAAGCAGAGGCAGAGCGCAGCUGAGUCACUAUACUGGCAGAGCAUUAGAGAGGGAGCAACAGAUGCCUACUGCUGAAGCAAUGUCAAGAAAAACAGGUGGCUGGAGGUAUACUGUGUCCUGAACGACAUUCCCAGCUCCGCCAGGCAGCUGUUAAAACUGCUUCCUGCUCUUCCCCACUUCCUCCGGUAUCCUUGCAAUGAACCACGUUAACCCGAGUCACCAGAGCACAUCUCUCUUCCUGGCAACCUGAAAAAGCCUGAUCAAUGCCAUGUAAUAUUCAUAUCUCUAUUAUGGCACGUAUCAGGUGGCGUUAUGAUGAUUUGUUUUUAUGAUUCUCCCUGACUACACUCCUUAAGGUCAAGAACUGUGUUCAGUGCCUUCUUAAAACAUCCUCAGCAACUGGAUAGUAUACCAGCACAUAGGAGGUGCUGGCGAAUCGUUGGAUGAAUGACUGGAGAAAAGUGUGAGUGUGCAUGUGGCCAAAAGAGCCAGGGAAGUUCAGUUAGCAUUCCUCUAAAGGAGUUUAUCCUCACAAACAUUUUAUGAGGGAGAUAAAGCAGGCGUCGUUAAUGUCCUGGUGGGGAAGAGAAAGCUCAAAAUGACACAGUACCUUUCCUGGGAGCACAUAUUUCGAGACGAUCAACGUGAACUAAACUUAUUGUGGCUAUCAUUUCAUAUGUCAAUCAAAUCAUUACGCCAUACACCUUGACCUUAUACAGUGCUGUAUGUCUAUUCUAUACCAAUAAAACAAAAAAAAAAACCCAACCUAACAAAAUAUUGAUUUUUACCUUUU
Long non-coding RNA from Leopardus geoffroyi (Geoffroy's cat), 1999 nucleotides. RefSeq lists it as uncharacterized. The transcript has 3 exons. NCBI's taxonomy places the organism in Eukaryota, Metazoa, Chordata, Mammalia, Carnivora, Felidae. The record is from RefSeq and is a predicted model, not a curated record.